UUUUUAUGGAGAGUUUGAUCGUGGCUCAGGAUGAACGCUGGCGGCGUGCCUAAUACAUGCAAGUCGAGCGAACAGAUGAGGAGCUUGCUCCUCUGACGUUAGCGGCGGACGGGUGAGUAACACGUGGAUAACCUACCUAUAAGACUGGGAUAACUACGGGAAACCGGAGCUAAUACCGGAUAAUAUAUUGAACCGCAUGGUUCAAUAGUGAAAGACGGUUUUGCUGUCACUUAUAGAUGGAUCCGCGCCGCAUUAGCUAGUUGGUAAGGUAACGGCUUACCAAGGCAACGAUGCGUAGCCGACCUGAGAGGGUGAUCGGCCACACUGGAACUGAGACACGGUCCAGACUCCUACGGGAGGCAGCAGUAGGGAAUCUUCCGCAAUGGGCGAAAGCCUGACGGAGCAACGCCGCGUGAGUGAUGAAGGUCUUCGGAUCGUAAAACUCUGUUAUUAGGGAA
This 458-nucleotide ribosomal RNA is filed under the name Staphylococcus epidermidis NIH051475. RNAcentral describes it as "bacterial SSU rRNA". It matches the Rfam family "Bacterial small subunit ribosomal RNA", at positions 1 to 446 of the family's 1533-position model. The record is from RNAcentral. Lineage: Bacteria; Bacillati; Bacillota; Bacilli; Caryophanales; Staphylococcaceae.